This is a long non-coding RNA of Pimephales promelas (fathead minnow), 239 nucleotides long. RefSeq lists it as uncharacterized. Lineage: Eukaryota; Metazoa; Chordata; Actinopteri; Cypriniformes; Leuciscidae. The record is from RefSeq and is a predicted model, not a curated record.
ACACCUUCUGCUCGGUGCAGUCGUGAUAGGACUUGAAGAUGACGGUUAUCUGCGGGGGAGAUUAAACAGGGAAAUGAACUACCCAUUCUCAUAAAACAACGAGUAUCAGACACUGCUUCUGAACAGGAAGGCUGUUUAUACAACUAACCUUGUUGGUUGCUGUAGCACUGGAGCCUUCAACCACCGGUACGUUUGUGACUUGAACUGAAAGGUAUCGGUUGUGGAUGAGCGGCCAGGCU